UUCCCAGGGAAUCUGUGUUCUUUGUCCUUUUAGCUGAUGUGUUUUGGUUCCUUUCCCAUGUGCAGACAUUUUUACAAGCAUGUGGGAACUUCACUUUAAUUCAGAAUGAAAAUAUCAUAUUUUACAAGUGUAAGUCUGAUUAGCAGAUACCUCUUUGUUGCUCCUUUAAUGUUAAUGGGGAGAGAGUGCAUUACAUUUGGUAAGCUUUGGGUGAGCAUAAGCUAAAGGUCUGAUGUCAGCCUUUGAAAGAGAAAUUGGGUGAAUUUUCUGGGCUCUUGAAGUGAUACUUACUUCAGUGCUUUAUAUUCCAAGGAAUUCUGAGCAACGUCUCUCAUAUCUCUUUCUUAAAAACAUCUGCGGACAGGUAAUGGCCACAUUAAGUGCUGCAGUGGGCAUGUUCAUAUCUCAUGUGUCUGUAAAUACCCUACUGAGCAGAUCAGAGAGAGCAGAAAUGGCUUAGUGAAAAAAAAAAAAAAAAUGCCUGAAAUGUUGUGGGUUUUGGAAUUGGCAGGGAAUUGCUGUGUAUCUGAUUUUUCAUCUCCCAGCCAUCCCUUACGUAAAACGUUUUGUGCUGUGAUCGGCUGCUGCAUUUAACCCAGCCCUGAAAUUGUUUUUAACCACAGUGAGAAUACUUCUGCUGAGGUCCCCCUUGCACAGAUGAGUGGUGAAAUAAGGUGAGAUGAGGUUAAAAGGCAGAAGUGAAGUUAGGGAAGCCAGAAGGUGCCAGAGAGUGGUUCAGCUGUGAAACUCAGCAUGGUCCAUCAGCCUCUGAAUGUUCUGGAGUCAGAGAAGGGCUUCAGUGCUGAACUCGGGCUUUAAUGACUUUAUACAACUUGGAUGUAAAUCCUGCAAGUGUGCAGAGAGAGAACAGACUUUGAAACAGCCGAAGAAAACAGAUUUAUCUGUGAUGUUUGAGAUGAUGCUGGUAGUGUAAACGUGAUUGAAAUAGUCAUUGUGGGAGUGGUGAGUAAAUAUACCAGAAGCUUGGGGAUAAACUGACUUCUCUGCUGCUCCAUAUGCCAAGUAAAGGCAGAAUGUCCUGCUUGUUUCUGGGAUGUUCCUUCACCGGGGAGGCUGUAUCAGGAGGAGCAGCCACUGGUUUUUAGGAUUGUCAUCACUCCCAGAUGCCAGUGUAGAGCUCUUCUUUCAUGCCCUGGAUGUGGUUGCUGGCCUCCUCUGGGCUGGUGGAAUUAAGAUGUUGCAAGAGCGAGGGGGAAAAGAUCCAGCAAAUAUUUCUGUGAGGAUUUCUUGUAGAUUAAUCAGUUUUUUAGCCUUUUGGUGUUUCACAAAUCAGCAGUGAGAUCUGGAAUGUGGAAGCUGUCUACACUUUUCAGGACAAAGUGCUGCCUUAUUUGACCAUCAGGCUGAUGGAUAAACUUACAGGACAAGCUUAAUCUUUUUUUCCAGACUGAAAAAUUACCAGGCUGAAAAGGGAUCUCACCUGUCAUUCUCCUCUAACUAAUUUUUGGUUUUUCAUCUGGCUUCAGUCAAAUUUGAUAAAGGCAGAGCCGUUAAGCAGACCAGGGCUCAAGAUUCAUGGAGAUGAGGAGCUUGGGAGAGCAAAUCCACCCUCCCAUGGUCUGGCAGAGUGGUCCUGGUCCCAGCCCUGUGGAAGGAGCAACCUGGGAAAGUGAGAGGAGCUCUGAGGGUCCUGGAACCAGCCUGGUGUCACUUGUAUAAAAUCCUGUGUCUGAAUAUCUGAAUAUUAAGAUUGUAUAGGAAGAGGCAUCAUAUUUUUUCCUUCAAGCUCCAGUUUCUUUAUGUAAUACCUUUGAUCAAAGUAUCUCAGAGCAGUAGUGGGAUUGUAAUUUAUUGAUGUAAUGGACACUGACAUUUUGUACAAGGAAAAUGGCAAACAGGUGCUGUUGAAAGGCAGAGUGAUGAAUGUAUAAUGUUGAAAAAAUUGCGACCGAACAUCCUGGUUGGAAUAAUGCACUAAAACAUUUUCACCCAGAUCCCAGUCUUUGUGACUGCAGAGUCACUUGGGAUUUGAAAGGGAGCUUUCUUUAGUGAGGAGCUUGCAAGUUGUUAAUAAAAAUUGCCAAUGGGAGGAAGGUCCACAUAUAUUGUUAAGCCACUGUUGGGAAACUGAUUCUGCAAUGAAAAUGUUUAUUUGUUUUGAAAGAAAAAUCUGUGCUAGAAUGCUACGCAUGCUCUACUUAUCUGUUUUCAUUCUAAACCCUAUUUUUAUUUUGCUCUCUGCAGCCAGUCUGUAAGUAAAACAUUCCUAGCAUCCUUUGGCUGGAGAUUCAGUCAAGGACUUUUUUGUUCUGCUUUCAAGAAGAUGGUUCCAGUCUUUCUUGAAGCUUCUCCAAAGGAAGUUUCCUUCUAUAGUGGAUAAGGUGACAAUGAGGAAAGUCACAGCCUAUGGUCCAAAGGCUUAGUGUCACCCUCUUAUUGUUGUAAUGUCCUGCCAUGUUUAAUCUGACAACAAAUGGAAACAUUUUAGCAUAGCUACACUGGCACACAGUAAGAGUUGGAGCCACUCUGAUGUUAGUUCUGCUUGAGUUCCCUGGGCUCUCGAGCUGGCUGUUAGCAGGAUAAUGUGGAUAAAUGUUGUGUGGGCACAGAGGAGAGGGGCUGUGUCUGUGUCCAUGGGCAAGGCCUCUCUCCCCAGCCCCCAUCCAAUCAAAGGCUGUUUGCCACCACGGAUUGGAUUGUCUUGCUCAACCAGGGAUUGGCUCUGACCAGUGUGUUUGUUUUGUUGUUCAUCCCUGGUGACUGUCAGUAGCACUUGGCUGAAUAAACAGAGACUAUUGAUCAAAUUUGAAGUCAUUAGCUUGGCAGUUUAAAUAGAUGCUGGCCUAUAUGGUUAGAACAAGGGAAUAACACAGGCUGAUACAGCUUUAUUUGGAAUAAAAGCCUUCUUUUCACAGAGUCCUGUUUGGUGCCAUUCAGUUCCCAGUUUGGUGCCUCCCUUAGGUCAUGCAAGAAUGAGAUAUUUUGCUUAAAAUACCUAAAGUGAAG
Melospiza melodia melodia is the source of this 2967-nucleotide long non-coding RNA. RefSeq lists it as uncharacterized. The transcript has 3 exons. Lineage: Eukaryota; Metazoa; Chordata; Aves; Passeriformes; Passerellidae. The record is from RefSeq and is a predicted model, not a curated record.